Molecule: long non-coding RNA, 1236 nt
Organism: Bos indicus x Bos taurus (hybrid cattle)
Lineage: Eukaryota; Metazoa; Chordata; Mammalia; Artiodactyla; Bovidae
Source: Ensembl
AUGUCGGAGCGAGGCGUCCGAGGCGAGGCCGGGCCGGGCGGCGGCGCCUCGCCGGGGAGCGUGGGGCGGCCCGGCCGCCGCCGCCGCCGGGGGAGGACGCGAGGGCCGGCGGGCGGGCGGGAGGCGCCGCGGCGACGCCGCGCCGGGGGCGGCGGGCCCGGGCCGGCGGGGGGGUCCGCGGCGGCCGCGCGGCUCCUUCCUGCUCGGGCGGCGGCGGCGGCUGCUCCCGCGGCGGCGGGGGGCGCUGUCCGCGCGGCCCGGCGCCCUCCCCGCCUCUCAGGGCCCCCGCUGCCUCCCGGGCCGGCGCUGCGGGCCGGCCGCCGCCUCCGCCUUCCCUGUUCCUCAGCCGCCGCCGCCGCUGCUGCCGCCGCCUUGUUUAUCUCCAGCCACCGACUCCCCCUCAGCCCCCGCCGGCGCGUGAGGGGAGGCGAGCCCUGGAGUCGCCGCCGCCGCUUCGGAGCCGCCGCCGCCGCGGAGCGCGAACUCGCGAAGGGGGGGGUGCGGACGAAGCCAGCGGGCGACCCCGGCAGCCGAGCGACGUCCCCUCCUUCCUCUUCCUCCCCCACCCCCCCCUCCUCCCCAGUCAGCCUCGCUUCUCCUCCCUCCCCGGGCUCGCUCGCUCUGACAGCAAUGGCGGCCGCCGACCGCGGCUCGGCCCGCCAUUGGCUGGAGCCUUGUCACGUGACGGGCGCCGGCUGCUCGGGGGGGGAAAUGGAGGGGGCGGGGGAGGGGCCGGAGCGGCGGCCGCGGCUGUUCGCUGGUGGCGCUGCUGAGCCGAGUGCGGCUGGAUUCUCCGGCGGAGAGAGGGAGGGAGACGGAGACAGAGAGGGAGAGAAAGAAGUGCGGGCGGCGCGGCUCCGAGGCGGGCGGGCAGUCAGCCGCCGCGCCGGCCGCCCCGCGCCCCGCCCCCUCGGGUGCACGAAUCUUUGCCGGGCGCGACCGCGAGCCCCGGGAACGCCCGUGGCCGUAGCUGUGGAGGGCUCGGGGCCCCUUGCCUGUGCCCUCGCUCGCCCCGGCCGACUGGGUGGCAGAGGCCCGCCAUGGGCCAGACAGCAGAUCCAAGUGCUUCGGAGUGUCUCCUUGAGGUGUCACUCCGUGGUCCGCGUUUUGCAGAUGAGAAAACUGAAGCACAAAGAGCUUAAGACACUUACCCGAGGUCGCUCAGCUGGAAAGAGGAGGGGGUGGGAUUCGAACCCCUGCGCUCAGGCACACAGCGAAGCGAAGCUCUUGCAUUAA